CCUACGGGCGGCAGCAGUGGGGAAUAUUGCACAAUGGGCGCAAGCCUGAUGCAGCCAUGCCGCGUGUGUGAAGAAGGCCUUCGGGUUGUAAAGCACUUUCAGCGGGGAGGAAGGCGUUAAGGUUAAUAACCUUGUCGAUUGACGUUACCCGCAGAGGAAGCACCGGCUAACUCCGUGCCAGCAGCCGCGGUAAUACGGAGGGUGCAAGCGUUAAUCGGAAUUACUGGGCGUAAAGCGCACGCAGGCGGUCUGUCAAGUCGGAUGUGAAAUCCCCGGGCUCAACCUGGGAACUGCAUUCGAAACUGGCAGGCUAGAGUCUUGUAGAGGGGGGUAGAAUUCCAGGUGUAGCGGUGGAAUGCGUAGAGAUCUGGAGGAAUACCGGUGGCGAAGGCGGCCCCCUGGACAAAGACUGACGCUCAGGUGCGAAAGCGUGGGGAGCAAACAGGAUUAGAUACCCGGGUAGUC
RNAcentral lists this ribosomal RNA (465 nucleotides) under uncultured Klebsiella sp. Its description in RNAcentral is "bacterial SSU rRNA". It matches the Rfam family "Bacterial small subunit ribosomal RNA", at positions 338 to 795 of the family's 1533-position model. The record is from RNAcentral. Lineage: Bacteria; Pseudomonadati; Pseudomonadota; Gammaproteobacteria; Enterobacterales; Enterobacteriaceae.